CGUAGGUAACCUGCCCAUGUGUCCGGGAUAACUGCUGGAAACGGUAGCUAAAACCGGAUAGGUAUACAGAGCGCAUGCUCAGUAUAUUAAAGCGCCCAUCAAGGCGUGAACAUGGAUGGACCUGCGGCGCAUUAGCUAGUUGGUGAGGUAACGGCCCACCAAGGCGAUGAUGCGUAGCCGGCCUGAGAGGGUAAACGGCCACAUUGGGACUGAGACACGGCCCAG
Molecule: ribosomal RNA, 225 nt
Filed under: uncultured bacterium
Lineage: Bacteria
Description: partial 16S ribosomal RNA
Rfam family: Bacterial small subunit ribosomal RNA
Source: RNAcentral